RNAcentral lists this ribosomal RNA (446 nucleotides) under uncultured bacterium. RNAcentral describes it as "bacterial SSU rRNA". It matches the Rfam family "Bacterial small subunit ribosomal RNA", at positions 28 to 494 of the family's 1533-position model. The record is from RNAcentral.
GAUGAACGCUGGCGGCGCGCCUAACACAUGCAAGUCGAACGGCACCCCUCUCCGGAGGGAAGCGAGUGGCGAACGGCUGAGUAACACGUGGAGAACCUGCCCCCUCCCCCGGGAUAGCCGCCCGAAAGGACGGGUAAUACCGGAUACCCCCGGGCGCCGCAUGGCGCCCGGGCUAAAGCCCCGACGGGAGGGGAUGGCUCCGCGGCCCAUCAGGUAGACGGCGGGGUGACGGCCCACCGUGCCGACAACGGGUAGCCGGGUUGAGAGACCGACCGGCCAGAUUGGGACUGAGACACGGCCCAGACUCCUACGGGAGGCAGCAGUGGGGAAUCUUGCGCAAUGGGGGGAACCCUGACGCAGCGACGCCGCGUGCGGGACGGAGGCCUUCGGGUCGUAAACCGCUUUCAGCAGGGAAGAGUCAAGACUGUACCUGCAGAAGAAGCCCC